This 496-nucleotide ribosomal RNA is filed under the name uncultured bacterium. Its description in RNAcentral is "partial 16S ribosomal RNA". It matches the Rfam family "Bacterial small subunit ribosomal RNA", at positions 28 to 506 of the family's 1533-position model. The record is from RNAcentral.
GAUGAACGCUGGCGGCGUGCCUAAUACAUGCAAGUCGAGCGAACAGACGAGGAGCUUGCUCCUCUGACGUUAGCGGCGGACGGGUGAGUAACACGUGGAUAACCUACCUAUAAGACUGGGAUAACUUCGGGAAACCGGAGCUAAUACCGGAUAAUAUAUUGAACCGCAUGGUUCAAUAGUGAAAGACGGUUUUGCUGUCACUUAUAGAUGGAUCCGCGCCGCAUUGGCUAGUUGGUAAGGUAACGGCUUACCAAGGCAACGAUGCGUAGCCGACCUGAGAGGGUGAUCGGCCACACUGGAACUGAGACACGGUCCAGACUCCUACGGGAGGCAGCAGUAGGGAAUCUUCCGCAAUGGGCGAAAGCUUGACGGAGCAACGCCGCGUGAGUGAUGAAGGUCUUCGGAUCGUAAAACUCUGUUAUUAGGGAAGAACAAAUGUGUAAGUAACUAUGCACGUCUUGACGGUACCUAAGCAGAAAGCCACGGCUAACUACGU